This 387-nucleotide ribosomal RNA is filed under the name uncultured bacterium. Its description in RNAcentral is "bacterial SSU rRNA". It matches the Rfam family "Bacterial small subunit ribosomal RNA", at positions 29 to 416 of the family's 1533-position model. The record is from RNAcentral.
AUUGAACGCUGGCGGCAUGCCUUACACAUGCAAGUCGAACGGCAGCACGGGAGCAAUCCUGGUGGCGAGUGGCGAACGGGUGAGGUAAUAUAUCGGAACGUGCCCAGUCGUGGGGGAUAACGUAGCGAAAGCUACGCUAAUACCGCAUACGAUCUAUGGAUGAAAGCGGGGGAUCGCAAGACCUCGCGCGAUUGGAGCGGCCGAUAUCAGAUUAGGUAGUUGGUGAGGUAAAGGCUCACCAAGCCGACGAUCUGUAGCUGGUCUGAGAGGACGACCAGCCACACUGGGACUGAGACACGGCCCAGACUCCUACGGGAGGCAGCAGUGGGGAAUUUUGGACAAUGGGCGCAAGCCUGAUCCAGCAAUGCCGCGUGCAGGAUGAAGGCC